UCAUCGUUUUGGGUGUCGUCAAUCCGCCGGCUGACAGCGCCGAUAACUCCAUAGUAGCAAGGUUUGACUCCAUCCCCUCUUCACCUUCAGCGUCUUCCUCCUCCUCCACUUAAAUUAGCAUUUUGAGCCCCUCUCUGGGCAGCGAUGGCCGAGGCUGAAGGGUCCGCCACACCUGAAACACCGUCCCUCCUCCCUCCGUUUAAGAUACUCCGAGUAUGGUAGAUUGCGAACAUUCCGAUCACUUCCGCCGCUGUUAGCCAGCCCAUUAUUCCGCCCUUGGGUCGCAUCUUUCUUAACAGACCCCAUGCUUUCAGCCGAUCCUCCUCGCACCGUCGCAUCAUGAUUUGGGUUGAUUCGCGUCACCGAACCCGUCGAUUUUCCCCAAGAAUUUUGAUUCUUGGAUAUCCAUCCUCCUAUCGUCUUCGAAGUCGUGCACAACUUCUCCACAUCUCUCGCCACCCGCAUGGCGGUCAUCAAAUCCGGUGGGUCAUGUGGUCGGACAUGAUCGCCCACCUCUUCCCGUAAGCCAGACAAAAAAUACCCCAUAAUAUGCUCCUCGGGUAUCUGGGUCGUUUGCCCUACCAGAACUUCGAAGUCGCGUAUGUAUUCCUCCACCGGCCCCUCCUGACGUAUGGUCGAGAGCCUCUCGUACACCGUUCCUUGCGUUCCUCCCCCAAAUCGGAUACCCAAAGCCCUCUUCAACCCAUCCCAAGAAAGGUUCUUGGUUUUCUCUCGCCAGAAUCGGAACCAGCUUCCGGCGUAGCCAUCCAUGCUAAUAAAGGCCAAUUCCAACUUCUCCUCCUCCACCACCUUCUAGACUUCGAAAAAUUUCUCCGCUCGACCUAUCCAUACCCAAGGUUCGCCCCCCUCAAAGACUGGUAAUUCGACUCGCUUCCUCCAUUGGCUCAAACCUCCUUGGUUACCUUCUCCGCCUCUUCCUCCUCCGCCGUUUGGUCCACCCCCAUUAUCGUUCACUGACGACUGGUAAUGUGGUUACGUUCUCCAAGCGCUCAAGAUUGCUUGGAUGUUAGGUUCCUGAAUUGGGAACCUAAUUGCAGCUCUCACUUUCACUCCAAGAAACACAGAAAGAUUGGGAAAACUGAAUGGUAUUCAUAGUAUAAUGUCUGUACACAUAGAACACAGAGGCAUAACCCUCUUCAACAGCCCUGCAAAGAAAUAUUCCUGCCAUUGGUCUUCUGGUGUUUUAUAUGUUUGUGACAACCAUAUCUUUUCCCCACUCAAAACAGUUGCAUCUUCUACUUUGUUUCCAACCAUAAUAGUCACCCUGUUCCCACCAUAUUCUGCUUUCUUUCCUCUGUCUUCACCCUUCUUCACUCUUGUGACAUACACAUCACAACCUCCCCCACUAUCUCCCCUAGAAACAAAAGCUUUUGCCACUUCCUGGGCAGCAACACUAACAACUUUCUCAGUAGCAGCUUCUCUGACUUCUGCAGUUUGGACUAAUUUCUCCAAAACAAAAUCUCUAUCUCUUUCUCCGAACCUCCUUAUCAACACCUUUGUCAACUCUGUCCAAGAAGGACUCUUGGUUUUAUAUUUCCAGACCCUAAGCCAAUAGAUUGCGACUCCCCCAUACUAGUGUAAGCCAAUCUUAAUAUUUCCCUUGCUGCCACAUUUUGGAUCUCCAAAACUUUCUCUGCUCUAGAUAUCCAUCCCUCUGGAUCAAUCCCCUCAAAAGUACGCAAUCUUACAUGCUUCCUCCACUUCCUCAAGUUACUGGAAACGCCACCCUUCCCCAUCCAUCCUCGCGACUAUCCCCGAGCUCGAUGAGUAUCGCCCCCACAUCGGACCCCCUUUUCCUGCCAUUCUGCCACUUCCGCAUGGAACAAUUCCUACCCGUUCCACAUCUUGUGCUCACGCCAUCACCGUUAACAAAUGUCGUGGGUCGUGCGGCCUUACUAAAUUUCGCAGCCCCUCUUGCAACCCAGCAAAAAAAAAAAUCCCAACAAUUUAUCCUCACUCACGCCUGAUGCUUGUGCCACCAAAAUUUCAAACUCUUGGAUGUAUUCGUCGAUGCUCCCCUUCUGUCGCACCGUCGCCAGCUUCUCAAAAACGGUGCCUCGAUUCAGUCCGCCGAACCUCCACGUCAGCGUUUCCGUGAACAUCUUCCAAUUCGGAUGUCUGGUUUUCUUCCGCCAGAAGCGGAUCCAAUAGUAGCUCGUGCCUCUCUCCAUACAAAUAUAUACCAGCUCCAUCUUCUCCCUCUCCGUCACGUUCUAUAGAUCAAAAAAUUUCUCUGCCUUCGCGAUCCAACCCAUGGGGUCCGCUCCUUCGAACGUUGGUAGUUCAACGCGCUUCAUCCAGCUACGUUGCACGUCUGCUUCGUCCUCUUCCGCUUCGUCCUCCAAACUCUCUGGUGGUCGCUGUUUGCGUUCAAUGUUGACGAAAUCGUGAAUUCCUUCGGAGCUCCGAUAUUGGUUCCUGGUUCGUCCUCCACGAGCACGGCCAAACGCUUGUAGUUUGCAAGUUACCGAUCUCAUCCCCGCUCUUAACUCUUCUACCGACGACUCAAUCACAAUCAACCUUCCCUCCAUUCUUCUUCUUCACACGCGUUAUGUUCGCUCCUCCGAUGAAGAUCCGGCAGGUCGGACCAAAUUUAUUAGGUUCCUUUGUUCAAGAGACCAAACAAAACACACUCUUCUCACAAUAAUACUCGAAACAGCCAAAGAUGAAAGUAUGUGUAUGUAUAUUAUUGAAUCUGUAAUGUAUAUAAAGAAGAAAAUACAAGUAAAUGUUCCCCAA
Long non-coding RNA from Vigna radiata var. radiata (mung bean), 2760 nucleotides. RefSeq lists it as uncharacterized. The record is from RefSeq and is a predicted model, not a curated record. Lineage: Eukaryota; Viridiplantae; Streptophyta; Magnoliopsida; Fabales; Fabaceae. The transcript is spliced from 2 exons.